AAGUCGUAACAAGGUUUCCGUAGGUGAACCUGCGGAAGGAUCAUUAGCGAAGUUCGGAAUGCAUGCUCGGUGUUGAUGCUGCCCAGCAAUGGGAUGUGCUCACUCGGAUGUGUGUCCCUUCUCUAUCCACCCCACUGUGAACCAAGUGUGUGAGCCGAAGAGAAAUCGGACGCUCGCAUGCAAACCUUUAACAUACCCCAAUUAAGUAUUAGAAUGUACCUUGCGUUAACUCGCACAAAUAUAACUUUCAACAACGGAUCUCUUGGCUCUC
Molecule: unclassified non-coding RNA, 271 nt
Filed under: Peniophora albobadia
Lineage: Eukaryota; Fungi; Basidiomycota; Agaricomycetes; Russulales; Peniophoraceae
Description: partial internal transcribed spacer region
Rfam family: Eukaryotic small subunit ribosomal RNA (bases 1-46)
Source: RNAcentral